GGGUAGGCGGCGAAGUUGGAGAGUCGUACCUGACUGUAAAUCAGGCCUCAGAGAGUGAGUGGGUUCGAAUCCCACCCUGCCCA
Molecule: transfer RNA, 83 nt
Filed under: Candidatus Bathyarchaeota archaeon
Lineage: Archaea; Thermoproteati; Candidatus Bathyarchaeota
Description: tRNA-Tyr
Rfam family: tRNA
About the family: Transfer RNA (tRNA) molecules are approximately 80 nucleotides in length. Their secondary structure includes four short double-helical elements and three loops (D, anti-codon, and T loops).
Source: RNAcentral